GGGGAUUUGCCAUGGGGGNAACCCUGAAUGCAGCCAUGCCGCGUGUGUGAAGAAGGCCUUCGGGUUGUAAAGCACUUUCAGCGAGGAGGAAAGGUUGGUAGCUAAUAACUGCCAGCUGUGACGUUACUCGCAGAAGAAGCACCGGCUAACUCCGUGCCAGCAGCCGCGGUAAUACGGAGGGUGCAAGCGUUAAUCGGAAUUACUGGGCGUAAAGCGCACGCAGGCGGUUGGAUAAGUUAGAUGUGAAAGCCCCGGGCUCAACCUGGGAAUUGCAUUUAAAACUGUCCAGCUAGAGUCUUGUA
Molecule: ribosomal RNA, 302 nt
Filed under: uncultured bacterium
Lineage: Bacteria
Description: bacterial SSU rRNA
Rfam family: Bacterial small subunit ribosomal RNA
Source: RNAcentral